This is a non-coding RNA of Pantherophis guttatus, 872 nucleotides long. The record is from RefSeq and is a predicted model, not a curated record. Lineage: Eukaryota; Metazoa; Chordata; Lepidosauria; Squamata; Colubridae.
CAAUUUCUAAGAGCUCUGCUACAGGUAGUCCUUGAUUUAUGACCAAAAUUGAGCCCAAAAUUUAUUUUGCUAAGUGAGACAUUUGGUAAGUGAGGGUUUUUUUGAGCCAUUUUAUGACUUUUCUUGCCACCGUUGUUAAGUGAAUCAUUGCAAUUGUUAACUUAACAAGUUGUUAAGUGAAUCUGGAUUCCCCAUGGACUUGGCUUGUCACCACAGGGGAUCACGACCCCAGGUCACUGCAAUCGUCAUAAAUGACUUGAAAUGGCUGCUUCACAUUAGAACCAUCAUUAAAAAGGAAAAUAAUGAAUGUUUUUCCUGCAUCAACUCAGAAAAGCUCAAACUUCCCGAGCUGCUGCUGAUCCAACGUCUACAGAGGAAUUGAUUGAGUCUGUCAUCUGCACCUCCAUAACUGUCUGGUUUGGCUCUGCAACCCAACAAGACAGACACGGACUUCGGAGGAUAAUCAGAACUGCAGAAAAAACAAGGGCUACCAACCUGCCUUCCACUGAGUGCCUGUAUACUGCACGAGUCAAAAAGAGGGCUGGGAAAAUAUUUACAGAUCCUCGCAUCCUGGACAUAAUUUAUUUCAACUUCUCCCCUUAAAACUAGACACAGGACAGAUUUCCCCCCCAUGCCAUUACUUGGCUAAACACUUAAUUCCCACAGCACUGUCUCAUUUCUCAUCUUUCCUAACUUAUAUUAGUUUAUGAUUUAUAAAAUUGAUGUUUGUAACUUAUGAUUAAUGAUUGUAAUUAUUAUUUAUGAUCUAUGACCGAUUAUUUGUUGUUUGCAUAUAUACUGUGAGUUUAUGCACCUGAAAUUUCUUGUGUGUCCAAUCACACUUGGCUAAUAAAAAAUUAUGUUGUGUUGUA